CUUCCUGGGCCUUAUCAAUCCUCGACCACUUUUCCGUUUGAGAAAUUUAGAGGUGACGGCUGUAAAUAAAAAAUUAUAUAUUACUACUUACUCUGCGAGUUCAUGAUUAUUGAUAUGAUGCACAAAUGUAAUUCACUCAACAUUUACUCGGAGCGUUAAGUAGCAAUCGCAUUGCCUAAAAUAGAGUGAUUGUUUCUCAGACUCUUGUGAAAUCUGAUCUUUAUCAUUAUCCAGAUUGGGCAAACACUGUUGAAGAUACAUAUAAGCUCUUGAAUUUGUUUAUGUAUUAUUUUACUCCAACUGCUCUCUUGACAGAAGAGAUCUAAACGUUUAAUUCGCGUUCACAGUGACCAAGCUUUUGAAAAAUUCUCUUAAAAUUCAAGAUGGCAGCCACGUAUAAAAUACAGAAGAAUAGACUCUAGUAGUGCAACGUAGUACUGAAGUCAGAAAACAGUGGAUCUAUAUACCUGGAUCAAUAAUAUUAAAUCUCUUUCAUGAAUGAAUUUAUGCAAAAUUGGGUCGCCACGUCCUUCAUAAAUGUUCAAUACUUUGCUCGUUUAAUGCAAAGACAAACGUGACUUCAACGUGGAUGAGUAAAAUUAGCCCUCGAUCUGUCAUCGAGACUUACGAGAGAGCAGAACGAGAGCAAAUAAUGUAAAAUUAAUUGGAACCUACGAAAAGCCUUCUCUCGAUGGAUACAGCCCACUGCCAAGAUAUUUUUGGAAUUAACAUACAUACCUAUUGUUUUUCCAAGGUUCCCUCAUUGUGCAUCCUCCAUCAAUAUUUAUUAAGUUUAUUUACAGUUCGUGCUACACUGUUGUAAUAUCGAAUUGAUAUAAAAGAUAUUUAAAAAUAAAAAAAAAACAAAAAGUA
Cephus cinctus (wheat stem sawfly) is the source of this 873-nucleotide long non-coding RNA. RefSeq lists it as uncharacterized. NCBI's taxonomy places the organism in Eukaryota, Metazoa, Arthropoda, Insecta, Hymenoptera, Cephidae. The transcript is spliced from 3 exons. The record is from RefSeq and is a predicted model, not a curated record.